UACGUAGGGGGGCUAGCGUUGUCCGGAAUCAUUGGGCGUAAAGCGCGUGUAGGCGGUCCGGUAAGUCCGCUGUGAAAGUCGGGGGGCUCAACCCUCGAAUGCCGGUGGAUACUGUCGGGCUAGAGUGCGGAAGAGGCGAGUGGAAUUCCUGGUGUAGCGGUGAAAUGCGCAGAUAUCAGGAGGAACACCAAUUGCGAAGGCAGCUCGCUGGGACGUAACUGACGCUGAGGAGCGAAAAGCAUGGGGGAGCGAACAGG
This 257-nucleotide ribosomal RNA is filed under the name uncultured bacterium. RNAcentral describes it as "partial 16S ribosomal RNA". It matches the Rfam family "Bacterial small subunit ribosomal RNA", at positions 524 to 776 of the family's 1533-position model. The record is from RNAcentral.